GAAACCGUGUACGUACAAGCAGUGGGAGCACAGAGCAAUCUGUGUGACUGCGUACCUUUUGUAUAAUGGGUCAGCGACUUAUAUUCUGUAGCAAGGUUAACCGAAUAGGGGAGCCGAAGGGAAACCGAGUCUUAACUGGGCGUUAAGUUGCAGGGUAUAGACCCGAAACCCGGUGAUCUAGCCAUGGGCAGGUUGAAGGUUGGGUAACACUAACUGGAGGACCGAACCGACUAAUGUUGAAAAAUUAGCGGAUGACUUGUGGCUGGGGGUGAAAGGCCAAUCAAACCGGGAGAUAGCUGGUUCUCCCCGAAAGCUAUUUAGGUAGCGCCUCGUGAAUUCAUCUCCGGGGGUAGAGCACUGUUUCGGCAAGGGGGUCAUCCCGACUUACCAACCCGAUGCAAACUGCGAAUACCGGAGAAUGUUAUCACGGGAGACACACGGCGGGUGCUAACGUCCGUCGUGAAGAGGGAAACAACCCAGACCGCCAGCUAAGGUCCCAAAGUCAUGGUUAAGUGGGAAACGAUGUGGGAAGGCCCAGACAGCCAGGAUGUUGGCUUAGAAGCAGCCAUCAUUUAAAGAAAGCGUAAUAGCUCACUGGUCGAGUCGGCCUGCGCGGAAGAUGUAACGGGGCUAAACCAUGCACCGAAGCUGCGGCAGCGACACUGUGUGUUGUUGGGUAGGGGAGCGU
Molecule: ribosomal RNA, 688 nt
Filed under: Escherichia coli
Lineage: Bacteria; Pseudomonadati; Pseudomonadota; Gammaproteobacteria; Enterobacterales; Enterobacteriaceae
Description: partial 23S ribosomal RNA
Rfam family: Bacterial large subunit ribosomal RNA
Source: RNAcentral